Molecule: ribosomal RNA, 301 nt
Filed under: uncultured bacterium
Lineage: Bacteria
Description: partial 16S ribosomal RNA
Rfam family: Bacterial small subunit ribosomal RNA
Source: RNAcentral
CAGUAGCCGCGGUAAUACGAAGGGUGCAAGCGUUAAUCGGAAUUACUGGGCGUAAAGCGUGCGUAGGCGGUUUGUUAAGUCUGUUGUGAAAUCCCCGGGCUCAACCUGGGAAUGGCAAUGGAUACUGGCAAGCUAGAGUGUGUCAGAGGAUGGCGGAAUUCCCGGUGUAGCGGUGAAAUGCGUAGAGAUCGGGAGGAACAUCAGUGGCGAAGGCGGCCAUCUGGGACAACACUGACGCUGAGGCACGAAAGCGUGGGGAGCAAACAGGACUAGAUACCCGCGUAGUCCCUGUCUCUUAUAC